UGGUAUGAAAUAAUGUCAUGAAUGGUUUAUGAAUUAACACGUGUCGGUAAGCGUGAUACAUGAAUAAAUGUUGUGCUCAUCCAUGCUUAUAAUGCUUGUGCUAUAUGUGUAUUUGGCUAAUGUAUUUGGUGUACAUGCUUAGGCUUUGGCCAAGCAGUGGCUAGAUUAUGCCACGUUAAAUUUAUAAGUUAUGCAUUGAAUUUUAAGUGCCUAAUUGAUAUGGUGCUUGUGAUAUGCGUAGGAAACGGGUGUGGAAAGGUAAUGAAAUAGUAAGUUCAUAUGGCUGAAAUUUAGUGAUUAAAUGUUAAUUUCAUGAAUUAUAUAAUGUGUGAUGAAAUAUAUAUUUAUUGUUGAAUUGAAAAUAAAAUAAAAGUGUGAAAACUGAAUAAAU
Molecule: long non-coding RNA, 391 nt
Filed under: Gossypium raimondii (Peruvian cotton)
Lineage: Eukaryota; Viridiplantae; Streptophyta; Magnoliopsida; Malvales; Malvaceae
Description: long non-coding RNA (GRAI_LNC007251)
Source: RNAcentral